GUCGAGGGGUAACAUAGAGAAGCUUGCUUCUUAGAAGAAGACCGGCGCACGGGUGCGUAACGCGUAUAGAACCUACCUUUUACAGAGGGAUAGCCCAGAGAAAUUUGGAUUAAUACCUCAUAAUGUUAUUUGAUGGCAUCAUUAAAUAAUUAAACAUUUAUGGGUAAAAGAUGGCUAUGCGUUCUAUUAGUUAGUUGGUAAGGUAACGGCUUACCAAGACAUCGAUAGAUAGGGGUCCUGAGAGGGAGAUCCCCCACACUGGUACUGAGACACGGACCAGACUCCUACGGGAGGCAGCAGUGAGGAAUAUUGGACAAUGGAGGCAACUCUGAUCCAGCCAUGCCGCGUGAAGGAAGACUGCCCUAUGGGUUGUAAACUUCUUUUAUAUAGGAAGAAACCGUCCCUUGCGAGGGGCCUUGACGGUACUAUAUGAAUAAGCACCGGCUAACUCCGUGCCAGCAGCCGCGGUAAAUACGGAGGGUGCAAGCGUUAUCCGGAAUCAUUGGGUUUAAAGGGUCCGUAGGCGGGCUGAUAAGUCAGAGGUGAAAAUCCCACAGCUUAACUGUGGAACUGCCUUUGAUACUGUCA
RNAcentral lists this ribosomal RNA (588 nucleotides) under uncultured Flavobacteriaceae bacterium. RNAcentral's name for it is "bacterial SSU rRNA". It matches the Rfam family "Bacterial small subunit ribosomal RNA", at positions 61 to 638 of the family's 1533-position model. Lineage: Bacteria; Pseudomonadati; Bacteroidota; Flavobacteriia; Flavobacteriales; Flavobacteriaceae. The record is from RNAcentral.